Long non-coding RNA from Harmonia axyridis, 313 nucleotides. RefSeq lists it as uncharacterized. Lineage: Eukaryota; Metazoa; Arthropoda; Insecta; Coleoptera; Coccinellidae. The record is from RefSeq and is a predicted model, not a curated record. The transcript has 3 exons.
AUCUUUGUCGUUUGUGACGUUUGUGUUUUCCCUUACCGGAUUGAUACAAAUAAAAGCAAAAAGAGCAUUAAUUAUAUAAUUUUCGUUGUAAAAAUAUCACGAUUAUUAAAUACCGAGUCAAUCUAUAAAUCUUUGAAGGAUCAUUACCAUGAAGAUUUUUCAAUCAAGAAAUAAGGAAUGACCUAUUGAAGAAUGUUACAUCUAUUCUGAUACUUCAGUCACUGGAAACUUCAGUAGUAUCUCCUGAUAAUAUGUACAAAUCUUAUAUUUGCAUAUUUCCAUUCUGCAAUCCUAUCCUCCUGCUGGUUUCAAC